AAUACAUUUUCCAAAUGAACUUCUAGGACAUCUGGUCACCUCCUGAAGGCUCAUUAAGGUUCUCUUUGCGUUAGAAAGGUGGUAAUGGUAAAGACAUCUUAUCGUGAGAGGGGGGGUUUUCGCUGGGGGUCCUCAGAAGAUCAGAGGGAAGCUCAAAGGGACCGAGUCUCCCAGCACACGGUCCCCCGCGUUAUUUCGCUCCGGUCCGUGACAGCGUGUGGCCCAACCUUGGCCUGCAUGCCAACCUCUGGGCAACAGCAAACUAAACCAUCUCUGCCAUGACAUGCCUGAGUUUCCCCAUCUAUAAACGGGGAUUCUAGAAUUAUCCUAUCUUGCUCCGAUGAUUGUUCUGCAGGUGCCGGGGUGAUGACGGAUGUAGGGGUCCCACGAAAAGGAAAAGGUACGACCGCCUGUUUUUUAUUUUUACUGCUCCUGUCAUACCGGCCUAGAGUCCCCGCCUCUGUGUGAAGACAAGACCCCCUCUUGAUCCCUUCCUGAACCCACUACCGUUACCCCAAGAACAGCAACAGCUUCCAGGCACCUGCUGGGCACCAGGCCCUGUGCUCACAUUCUCUUGCUUCCGCACAUGAUCGGACUGGAGCAGGGAAGGAACAUCCCACUUUGCAGAUAAAGAAGCCAAAGGUGAUCUUGUCCAAGGUCGCAGAGAGGAGGGGAAAGACAGAGCCAGCAUCCAACGCAGCCUUGGCCAGUCCGGUGCGCUCUCUUCCCCUGCCCCCAGUGCCUUGCCUGUCUUGGGGCCACGAGCAGCCACCAGCCUUUGGGGCGGCCUUCCCAGCUGCCUGUCUUCCAGUGUUUCAAGCAGGGCCCGAAGAAGUUGUUUGCUUCUCGAACACUAAAGUGCACAGAUGGGACGCCUUUGGCUUUCGCAAAUUGGCUCACUGGCCACACGCUUUAACCGUUUAAGGGGCGGCCAGUAAAAAACAAGAAUGUUCCAAGUUAAUGGGGCUCCAAGCUCUUGGCCAGAGCUUUACCUGCUACGGGCCCGCACCCCAGGGCGUCAUAAGCUGUCCAAGUACGGGAUAACGAGCCCAGGAGCCUGCAGGAAGGAAAGCUGGCCACUCUCCCCUCAGAAUCAAUCGGGCAGCCCUGCCCGGGACCGCAGGAACCCAAACACCGUUGGCCAGACGUGGGCCCCUCAAAAUGAUUUCCGUGAAACUUAAUCGAUGUGUUUCCAUUCCUUCCCAGUGAGUGUAGCCAGGCUGGGCCUUUAACUGUUCCUCGGCAGAAGCCAGCGUGAAGCUGGAAAGGGAGAAGGUGAGACAAGCCAGAGCCGUCUGUCCUCAGCCCUCCAGCCCCUCCCAGGCAGGAGACAAGGAGCCCCCUGUGGGGGGGCGGGGGCGCAGAACUAUGUGUGACGUGCAGGGGCCUUCUGGGUGGAUUCGGGGAACCUGGUAUGGAGCUCAAGGCCACAUAGAAAAGUGUCUGUCCCCAGUGGUUCCCUCUGGGUAUGAGAGGAGCGGGGAGGAAAGGGGUUUCUAGAAUUCUGUGUCAGCCUCUUGCAAGGAGCCUCCAUUAUUAUUUUACAGUAAAAUAAACGAGGUCGAUGCAUCUUUACCUACGUGCAUAUCCCUGUGACCACUACCCAGGUCAACGCACAGGAUCUCACCAGCCCAGAAAACGGCUCCCUCCCCGGCACGGCCCUCACCCCGAAGGUAACUACUCUUCCGACUGUUGGGAGUUUUUAAAAGAAAAAUUUCCAUGCAGUGCGAUCUCCGUUGCGUAAAAACGCGUGUAAGCCAAGAGGCCAUGAAAUAAAGUGUUAACUGUAGUCACCCCUGAGCGCUGUGAGGGGCAGGGGCCUCGUAAGGCACCGUUUUAAUUUUCUUCAUAGUUUGCUGGAUUUUCCGAACGUUCUGUAACCAGCCUGGGUAGCUUUUAUAAUCAAGGGGGAAAAAUUAAAGUGCGAUUGCAUGUGUUUUUAAGGCCUGUUCCCUUUUUAAAUGGUCUCACCAGAUGUUGUUAGCUGGGCUUUCUGAGAUGUGUGCUGAACUCUUCUUAAAGGCCCAGAUUUACCCAUCUACCGCAAGAUACAAAGCUUUUUCGCAUCACUUAGCAUCAGCACCUCCUAGCUUGGGAAGACAGAAGGCUGGGAAAAGCCGAGGCAGGCAGUGUCCCAGGGCUGCUGUCAUCACCUACUGCCCUCUGUGGCAGAAACAUCUAGGGAAGGUGACAUUCCACCCCUGACUCACGGGGUGACCAUGGCCUCAAUUCCCCCCAUCUGUAAAAUGGGGGCAUUGGGCUUAUCUAUCUCUAAGGAUCCUUCCAGUCGGGGCCAUUCUAGAAUUCAAGCUGUGAUCGGACUCCAGAAGGUCUGGAGCUGGGACGUGGUUUCUAAAUGGGACCCACGUAAUCCUCAGUUGGUGGGAAAGUUCGAAAAGACCCUUCUCCAUCUCUGUACUCAGCCCAGGAAGAGUCUACACCACCAGCCACAGACACAAAUGCCCACAGGGGACCGACAGGUGACAGGGAAGACAGAAGUAGGCCAAGUGUGAGAAAAUCACCCCUCCGGUCCCUCAGAGAGUGGCCCUUCACAGUCAACCUCCGUGUCCGGGAAGCAGUAGGGAGUCAUGGGGCUGGGACACAUGCCCCACCUCAUCAGCUCCUGCCCAGCCUUGCCUUGGCCCAAUGUUGCCGGAUCUGCUGAUAUUUUAGUAAAGCCUCCCAAUGUUUUAAAGGUUAGCCAAGCCAAAUACGUCUGUGACUCAGCUACCGCCCAGCGGGUAUCAGCUUGUGGCCGCCAGGCUCAACGAUCGGGGACUCUGCCCUUGAACUUCUCCAGGCUGGAGGUCCCGAAACCAGGGUUCUGCUGCCCUGGCUGCCAGGAAGUGGUUGAUCAUGUCCAACGAAAACUUCUCCUGCUUUAAAUCCCUUGUAUUUGUGUGUGGGUGGAGGUAGGAGUGAGAAUUGGCUCCUCAUUAAAAAAAAACAAAAAAAACCUUUAGAAACUGGAAAAACAGCCCA
Herpailurus yagouaroundi (jaguarundi) is the source of this 2982-nucleotide long non-coding RNA. RefSeq lists it as uncharacterized. NCBI's taxonomy places the organism in Eukaryota, Metazoa, Chordata, Mammalia, Carnivora, Felidae. The record is from RefSeq and is a predicted model, not a curated record. The transcript is spliced from 2 exons.